AUACGGAGGGAGCAAGCGUUGUUCGGAUUUACUGGGCGUAAAGCGUACGUAGGUGGCGCAGCAAGUCGGGAGUGAAAUCCCACGGCUCAACCGUGGAAGUGCUUUCGAAACUGCUGUGCUAGAGGAUGAGGGGGGAAGGCGGAAUUCCAGGUGUAGCGGUGAAAUGCACAGAUAUCUGGAGGAACACCGGUGGCGAAGGCGGCCUUCUGGAUCAUACCUGACACUGAGGUACGAAAGCGUGGGGAGCGAACAGGAUUAGAAACCCUAGUAGUCC
RNAcentral lists this ribosomal RNA (274 nucleotides) under uncultured bacterium. RNAcentral describes it as "partial 16S ribosomal RNA". It matches the Rfam family "Bacterial small subunit ribosomal RNA", at positions 523 to 796 of the family's 1533-position model. The record is from RNAcentral.